Molecule: non-coding RNA, 539 nt
Filed under: Megaselia scalaris
Lineage: Eukaryota; Metazoa; Arthropoda; Insecta; Diptera; Phoridae
Description: Eukaryotic large subunit ribosomal RNA
Rfam family: Eukaryotic large subunit ribosomal RNA
Source: Rfam by way of RNAcentral
AUAGAAUAACUAAGGAAAAUGUUUGGUACUCAGUUACAAACCAUAAGAGUACUUUCUUUAAUUAUCAGCGCCAGAGGAGGAUGUAUUAAACCUAAUGAGUUUUUAACAACAGCUCUAGAAUUCACUAAGAAGUACUUAGAAACCAUGAUCUACACGGCAAUGAAGAGAAGUCUAUUCAUCUAUGACCGUUUUAUGCGAAGAAUUUGGGCCUCUACUAGCCAUAAAACAAUUAGUAGUAAUUAAAAAAAAAAAAUGUAUUGUUUUUGAUUGUUCAAAUUAUAUAAACUAUGUAUUUUGUAUUAAAUAAAAAGAUUGAAUAUGUUUCAUUUUUACUAGCCAAAUGCCUCAUCUAAUUAGUUACGCGUAUGAAUGGAUAACGAGAUUCCUACUGUCCCUAUCUACUAUCUAGCGAAACCACAGCCAAGGGAACGGGCUUGGAAUUAUUAGUGAGGAAAGAAGACCCUGUAGAGCUUGACUCUAGUCUGGCAGUGUAAGGAGCCAUAAGAGGUGUAGAAUAAGUGGGAGAUGGCUUGCUAUCG